This 393-nucleotide ribosomal RNA is filed under the name Triticum aestivum (bread wheat). RNAcentral's name for it is "partial small subunit ribosomal RNA". Lineage: Eukaryota; Viridiplantae; Streptophyta; Magnoliopsida; Poales; Poaceae. The record is from RNAcentral.
AUGUCGGCCUGCUGUCAUGCUUUCAAGAAAAGGAAUAGACCUGUCAGGGCGGUGUUUGAAACCAAUGACAAGACAUUGCUGCCUGCCCGCGUCCUCAACCCCACCCACCUACCCGCACAGAAUAGACUCUGCCCAAACACCCGUCAUAGCUGCCGAUGGAGUCCACUGAGAUCGGCGGAGAUGAUAAAAGGACGCGUCGAACUCCACCAUCGCCAUGCAUCACCGCUGGAAGGAAUAGAGGAGACUGUCGCCGCUCAUGGUAUCAUCAUCCCGGCGUCGAUCGUCAUCGAUCUGGAUUUUGAGGGAAGCUCCAGAUCUGAAGUGGUAGAUGGUAGCUCCUCCAAUCCACUUUCGCGUGGCGUCCGAGCCGGCGAUGCACGCGACUUCGGCUAG